CACGUAAGCAACCUACCCUAAAGACGAGGAUAACCAUUGGAAACAGUGGCUAAGACUGGAUAGGAAGAUAAAAGGCAUCUUGUAUCUUUUAAAAGACCUAGUUAAUAGGUAUGCUUUAGGAGGGGCUUGCGCCAUAUUAGUUAGUUGGUAGGGUAAUGGCCUACCAAGACGAUGAUGUGUAGCUGGACUGAGAGGUUGAACAGCCACAUUGGGACUGAGACACGGCCCAAACUCCUACGGGAGGCAGCAGUAGGGAAUUUUCGGCAAUGGAGGAAACUCUGACCGAGCAACGCCGCGUGAAUGACGAAGUACUUCGGUAUGUAAAGUUCUUUUAUCGAGGAAGAAAAGCAAAUGGCGAACCAUUUGUUUGCCGGUACUUGAUGAAUAAGCCCCGGCUAAUUAUGUGCCAGCAGCCGCGGUAAGACAUAAGGGGCAAGUGUUAUCCGGAAUUAUUGGGCGUAAAGGGUGCGUAGGCGGUCUAGUAAGUCAGUGGUGUAAUGGCAACGCUUAACGUUGUCCGGCUAUUGAAACUGCUAAACUUGAGUUAGAUAGAGGCGAGUGGAAUUCCAUGUGUAGCGGUAAAAUGCGUAAAUAUAUGGAGGAACACCAGAGGCGUAGGCGGCUCGCUGGGUCUUAACUGACGCUGAGGCACGAAAGCGUGGGGAGCAAACAGGAUUAGAUACCCUGGUAGUCCACGCCGUAAACGAUGAGUACUAAGUGUCGGGUUAAACCGGUACUGAAGUUAACACAUUAAGUACUCCGCCUGAGUAGUACGUACGCAAGUAUGAAACUUAAAGGAAUUGACGGGACUCCGCACAAGCGGUGGAUCAUGUUGUUUAAUUCGAAGAUACCCGAAAAACCUUACCAGGUCUUGACAUGUUUUUGCAAAAUGAUAGUAAUAUCGUGGAGGUUACCAGAAACACAGGUGGUGCAUGGUUGUCGUCAGCUCGUGUCGUGAGAUGUUAGGUUAAGUCCUAAAACGAGCGAAACCCUUAUCGUUAGUUGCCAGCACGUUAUGGUGGGGACUUUAACGAGACUGCCAAUGAUAAAUUGGAGGAAGGUGAGGAUCACGUCAAAUCAGCAUGCCCCUUAUGACCUGGGCUACAAACGUGAUACAAUGGCUGUUACAAAGGGUAGCUGAAACGCAAGUUCUUGGCCAAUCCCCAAAAACAGUCCCAGUCCGGAUUGAAGUCUGCAACUCGACUUCAUGAAGUUGGAAUCGCUAGUAAUCGCGAAUCAGCAUGUCGCGGUGAAUACGUUCUCGGGGUUUGUACACACCGCCCGUC
This 1286-nucleotide ribosomal RNA is filed under the name Phytoplasma sp. RNAcentral describes it as "bacterial SSU rRNA". It matches the Rfam family "Bacterial small subunit ribosomal RNA", at positions 114 to 1398 of the family's 1533-position model. The record is from RNAcentral. Lineage: Bacteria; Bacillati; Mycoplasmatota; Mollicutes; Acholeplasmatales; Acholeplasmataceae.